UACAUGGGGGUGCAAACGUUGCUCGGAAUUAUUGGGCGUAAAGCGCACGUAGGCGGUUCGUUAAGUCGGAUGUGAAAGCCCUCGGCUCAACUGAGGAAGUGCACCCGAAACUGGCGAGCUUGAGUACGAAAGAGGAUCGCGGAAUUCCCGGUGUAGAGGUGAAAUUCGUAGAUAUCGGGAGGAACACCGGUGGCGAAGGCGGCGAUCUGGGUCGAUACUGACGCUGAGGUGCGAAAGCGUGGGGAGCAACAGG
This 253-nucleotide ribosomal RNA is filed under the name uncultured bacterium. RNAcentral describes it as "partial 16S ribosomal RNA". It matches the Rfam family "Bacterial small subunit ribosomal RNA", at positions 524 to 775 of the family's 1533-position model. The record is from RNAcentral.